AAUGCUUUAAGAAGUUCAAUUGUAAAAAUUAAAAACUUGCAACACUAAAAUAGACAAUAACAAUUACUCCUGACUAAAGGAAAUCAGGAUAGUGUCUUCAUCCUUCCAAUUAUUGAGUCUGUCACCAAUUGUUGGGAAAAUCCAGCUAUCCAGGUCGCAAUCGCUAUCAGCAUCUUCUACAGCAUUAAUUUGAUCUUUGACCAUUUUUUCAGAGCUAAA
Molecule: long non-coding RNA, 219 nt
Filed under: Lathyrus oleraceus (garden pea)
Lineage: Eukaryota; Viridiplantae; Streptophyta; Magnoliopsida; Fabales; Fabaceae
Description: Pisum sativum (pea) long non-coding RNA (PSAT_LNC035505)
Source: RNAcentral